This 606-nucleotide ribosomal RNA is filed under the name Simplicillium sp. M-27. RNAcentral describes it as "eukaryotic LSU rRNA". The stretch from base 211 to 364 matches the Rfam family "5.8S ribosomal RNA". The record is from RNAcentral. Lineage: Eukaryota; Fungi; Ascomycota; Sordariomycetes; Hypocreales; Cordycipitaceae.
CCGUAGGUGAACCUGCGGAGGGAUCAUUAUCGAGUUUAUCCAACUCCCAACCCUAUGUGAACCUACCUUUAUGUUGCUUCGGCGGUCUCGCGCCGGGCUGCUCCCCUGGGGAGCUCCCGGGACCACGCGUCCGCCGGAGACCACAAACUCUUGAUUUUGCGAAAGCAGUAUUAUUCUGAGUGGCCGAAAGGCAAAAAACAAAUGAAUCAAAACUUUCAACAACGGAUCUCUUGGUUCUGGCAUCGAUGAAGAACGCAGCGAAAUGCGAUAAGUAAUGUGAAUUGCAGAAUUCAGUGGAUCAUCGAAUCUUUGAACGCACAUUGCGCCCGCCAGCAUUCUGGCGGGCAUGCCUGUUCGAGCGUCAUUUCAACCCUCGAGCUCGUCUUCAUUGACGAGACCGGUGUUGGGACCCGGCGAGAAGGGACUCACGUCCACUGCCGGUCCUGAAAUUCAGUGGCGGCCCGUUGCGGCGACCUCUGCGUAGUAACUUAAACCUCGCACUGGGACAGCAGCGCGGCCACGCCGUAAAACCCCCGACUUUUUUAAGGUUGACCUCGAAUCAGGUAGGACUACCCGCUGAACUUAAGCAUAUCAAUAAGCGGAGGA